Equus quagga is the source of this 6164-nucleotide RNA transcript. RefSeq lists it as uncharacterized. The record is from RefSeq and is a predicted model, not a curated record. The transcript has 9 exons. NCBI's taxonomy places the organism in Eukaryota, Metazoa, Chordata, Mammalia, Perissodactyla, Equidae.
AGAUGGGCACGGAUGUUAGCUCAGGGCCAGUCUUCCUCAGCAAAAAGAGGGGGAUUGGCAGCAGUUAGGUCAGGGCUAAUCUUCCUCAAAAAAAGAAAAAAAAAGAGCAUAAGGUAAGUGACAUUUCUUGCUCACCUGACUCCCUGGAGUAAGAGACACCAGUGGAGAGGACAGGGAGCCAAAGGCUGUGCAGACACGGGGUGUUCAAGGUUUGCCCCACGGGCCGUAAAGCCAUGGGUGUCCAAGUGGCCACUCCUGGGGGCCGGCAGGGCAGCUCUGCUCAGUGGAGGGUUUGCAGGGUGUGUGUACGCGUGCCCCCAAAACCCCAGUGACCCGGAGUGCUCCGGCCUCUGUCCCCUGGAGCAGGUCCACGGUACGAUGGUACCAGGCCUCCCUGUUGGGGCUCACUAAAUGCUUGUUGAGUGAAUCCAUGAAUGAAUGAAUGAACGAUGUGGACCAGGGCCGUGCACAGGAUGCUCACUCUCUCAAGGACUUUCCUGGUACAGCCCCUGCAGCUAGCAGAGGUAUAAAGACAGUGGUACAGACCGCCCGUCUACACUGCAGCAGACGAGCCCUACCCAGGCACAGCCCUCAGGACCACAGGACGGCAGAGAGCCUGGCCGUUCUGGGGGCCUGCCCAGAAGAGUCUGGCUCCGGGUGGCAUGUCCCUGUGGAUGAUGACGCGGUUGUUAUUUAUGGGACUAGAGCAGAGCAAAGACAAACAUCCCGCUGGUACAUCCUGGUUGGGCCACAUCCAGGGAACCAGCUGCCCAAAGUGUUUAAAAGGCCCUUCCGGGAGGGGCUGGAGCCAGUCCAUGGCCUGAGGUGGAGGUCACGAUGGGCCUCGUGCCACUGCAGGGCUGACCUGUGGGGGAAGGACCGUUCCUUCCUGAGGACGAGUCGCCGCCCUCCUCCCUGGGUUCGCCCCCUCUUCACACUGCCUGCAGUAGCCAUGCCUUGGAGGGUGGUGAUGGCAGGGCUGGCGCUCCUGAGCUCCAGUCUCUGACUCUGCCUGCACCGUACCAUCCCCGGUGCUUCAGAUCCCAGGUUAGGGCUGGGGUGUGGCUUCCGGGUGUGAUGGGGAAGGAGUACCUCCCAACCCUGAAAGGACAGACAGGUUUCUCUGAGUGGAGUCACCAGCCAUGCAUGGUAGCUGAUGCACUGCCUGUGUCUGCUGCCCCUCCUGGCCCCGUGGCACCUGCCCAGCCAGCCUUGGGCAGGAGCACCCGCUGGCAUACCGAGAGCUGCCAAUGAGGCUCUCAGACAGCUUGGCCAAGGCCAGGUAGGUGCAAGGUGAGAUCCCCAGAGGUGCAGACAUCCAGGGGAGCUGCACACGUGCCGUCCUCCCCUUGCAGGCCAAAGGAUGGAAAGGCAAUCCCAAAGACACUGCUGUUAGGGCUGGGAGCCUGCCACCCCACCACCGUGCUCCAGGGGAACCAGGCACAACCCCCAGCCCCCUCCGCCCCCUUCCUAUGAUCCCUGGGGCAUGUGGCCAUGCAGCAGGGCCCCUGGGGAUUGGUGAGGCAACCAGACGGGCACAGCCAAUGCCUGACUUCUUCCUUAAACUUCCAACCCUAACACAGUCAGAUUUACCUAGUUGGCCUGAAAAAAGUUCAAAAUGUGGGACUUCAGCUUUUCCUGAAAUUGGAGCCCUGGUAGCUCAGUCUCAAGAAAACCCUAUGUGGGAUUCCAGGUCUGGGGCGGGUCUCGGGGCCCUCUCCCAGCAUUCCAUUAAUUCUCCCAUCAACCUCUCCAUCCCUGAGGCCCGGAGCAGCUCUUCCUCCGGGACUUCUGCCAUUCGGGGUUCCCUCCAGGCGCCCGCCGGGGCCGUGGCUGCAGGCAAGGCUUCCCGGAGGAGGGGCCUGCGGGGCCACUGGCCCUCCUGGCUCUUCUGUGGGGGCCCUCUUUGCCCAGCAUCAGAACCUGUCAUGUUUCAACCUAACGCACCCCGCCGGGCCCUCUCCCCACACGCCGCAGAGCAUACAUUUGUUGUCAAUACAAUUUUAUUCCGUUUGAGGUGGAAUCCAUGGGAGCCGGAAGCACGUUGGGGCCACGGCUAGCAGGGGUCACAGCGACUAGUCCAGGACGUGCAGGGCCUGAGCGGUGGGUAAGCCACUUAAGAAACAAAACAAAAUACAGAGAACAAAUUGCUUGCCAUGGACGUCAGUAAUCUCUUGGUAGUGGUGAAAUUUCAUUGUGUUCCCUUUAAACAACAAACACCUGUUCUCUUUAAGCCAAAGGUGCUGGAGAGAAGAUGGCCAUGUGACUUGAUCUCUCUUUGAACCUGAAAUGUCACCUUCCUACCUAGAAAUUCAGCAUGACGUGUUUCAAGGGCCAGAGGACAGCAGGCUGUCUGCACCCCCGCCCUGCUCCCCACAGGCCCAGGGACGCCCCCGCCUCCUGGGCUCCACGGUGCUGAUCCAGGAGGCCAGUUUGGCUGUUUCCACAGCUGAGAGGAGUGGGGUGGCAUGGGGUGAAUCUUAAAGAAGAGGCACAGAGAGGUUCCCCCUUGGCUGGGGACACGCCGCAAGGUGGCCGUGUGGAAGGGAGCGGGUUUGCUGACUCUCAAAUCAGGGAGAGCUCUCGAGGUUGGAGCACACCCCAUCUCAGACAAGGCUGCUGAAGGCCAAGGUCAAGGUCAAGAUCAGGAGCCAACACAGAAAGGCAAUCCUCCUUUCCCAGAAGCAGAGCAGAGGAGAAGCGCACCCCCAACCAGCCUGGACCCUGCCACUGGACUGUAGUGGUCAGGACCUCAAGAGCUGAGCACUGAUGGGCUCCAGGAUGGGCUCCCCAAAAGGCUUUUGGACAGAGGGACCGGGAAGCACCAGCCUUAGUCUCUUUGCCUGCUGGAGGACUGGGGCUCAUGGAGACAAGAGAAGCUGAGGGAGGAGGCCGUGGACUUCCUCUUUCCUGUUGAUAAGCUUCUUCUUAGAGUGGCCCCAUCCAGCAGCGUUCAUUCUCCAGAGAAAAGCUCAGCAGGAAGACGCCUCAGUCAGGGCUGUGUCCACGGUGCUCUCAGCACUUCAAGGACUUUUCUCCUCAGAAGGAGGUGCAGGAGGAUUCAAGUCUCCUUGCUCCCACCAGUGCAAAAAGCAGCUUUCUGUGCAAAUGGCUUACAUCAAUCUUUUGGGGGAAGGAGAGCGUGUUGGGAAGAGCCGGUUCCCACACAGAAAGCAGAAGGCGCCCUGAGUGCUGGCUACCGACCUGUGGUCACUCUUACAUCCAGCCCCCUGAGAAGCUGAUUUAUAGAAGACCCACGUUGACAGGAGACGGCCGACACUGCAGGACACGGGGGUCCUUCUACCUGCUUGUGGAUGCCUUUGUCCUGGUUGGUCAGUUAAUACACUAUCACUUCCUUCAACCCUGCAGACUCUCUCCAGAGGAUUGUGUGUGUGCACGUCCACACACCCCUCGACCCACCCAGCCCCCAGCUGGUUGCUGUAUUUAGUGAGGUUGACUUUAAACAAUACCGAAGAACCUCACGUAGAAAUUCCCCAACUAAGGGACAGGAAUCCGAUACUGUUGCAACAGCCUGUGGCUCAGGUUCAUGUGCAGGCACUUUCCUUCACUCACCAGCAGUAUAAAAUGUUUACACGGAAAGGGUGAAAAGCCCCCAGCUUCUCUGUUCAGUGCUAAUGACGCUGGAGGAGUUCCUGGGACGUGUGGAGAGCCAUCAAAGGCAGGCCACGAGAGACCCAGCCAGCCUGGUCCCCAGGUCUUGAGUGAUGGUGCACGCAGAAGGCUGCAUCAGAACCCUCGUGGAACGCGCCAGCAAGAAAGAACCUCUGGCAGCCACCCACUGAGCCCAUGGAGGACUCCACCGCCCUCCUUGGAGGCCGCCUCACCCGCUGCGCAGCAGGAAGCUGACAGCUGGUCCUGCCGGUGGGUGGGUGCGUGCUGUGCGCCCUCCUGCCCGGACGCUUUGAGGGCGUGCUGUCUUUGAUUCACACUCGCUUCCGGAGAGGAGGAAGGACAUGGACCACCAGGAAGCCCGUGUUUAGUCUCUGGAUGUCGACCACCCAGCCAGGCGGAACUGCGUUCCUAAACCGGGCAGGGUGGAGCCCACGAUGUGGGCCAAAGUUAUGGGAGCAAACGCCCCCCACCCCACCCGCUCGGCAAAGACCACCCGCUAGGCCGCUGGGCCUCGGACUGCCAGCCCCAUCCUCCGAACUAAUCCAGGAUGGUCUUGCUGCAGCUCAGGAGAUCCUUCUGCAGCUCUUUGAACCCUGGCCAGGGUGGGAAGACAGCAGAGGGAUUCCGGGAGGAAGGAUGUCCAGCUCCUCCCAAAGAGGAACGUGGGGAGGAAAAGGCUGAUGGAUUCAGAGAGACUUGCCCAUCCUUGAACAUCGCCAGCUUGUCACUAAUUUGGGUGUCGCAGCCAUGUGAUGGGGCCAGUGCCACGCUCCCAGGAGAAUCUGUUGAGGAGAUGCUGAUAACGGUGGACGGCAAGUGGAAAUCGACAUCACUGGGCGGGGACCGCAGGCUAGUCCUGGGCUCUCUAGAGGGGCUGAUGGGGAAGCAGGCUCUCACACCCUUUCCCUGAGCCGUCCCGAUGGGGGCAGGCGGGGUGGGCACUGGCUCCAGCACGGUGGGCACUGGCUUCCUGGCCUGCUCGGCCCCCUCAGUGUCUUUCAUGCUGAUUGGUUGUGACAGGAGCGAGCUCAGCCCCAGAACGUGGUAAUGAGCGCAGUCAGCGGGCAAUUUGCAUCGAUUUCAGUUCCUUGGGAGGCGAGUUGCAGCAGGAGCCAGCGGUGGCAGAAGAGCAUCUGCAGGCCGUCCUCCCCCAGCGAGACCAGGUGCUGGUAGAAGCGUAGGUGUGUCAGCCGAAGCAGCUCCCGCAGAUUUCAGACUAUUCUGUGGCACAGCCCAGGGCAAGGCAGAGUGUAGCACCAUGUGGGCUGUGUCUGACGCCCUGUCCUUCCUGGGAGUGCAAGCGGAUCAUCCACAGAACCCCCGCCCAACCACUUUCCGCUCGGAUGGCUGGGAUCCAUCACCUUUCAGAGCUGAUUUAGAGUGGGGGGGCGGUUUCUGAACCCCAGGAUGCUCGAUUCCGGCACUUAAGGUCACCACCCAGUGACGCGGGACAAGAUGGAGGCUAUUUCUGGCAGCGCCUGGCUGGGGCUGCUGACCUCACCAGAGCCGUCGGAAAAUCAAUCUCCAGCAGUCACGAGUCACCGGGCCACGGGCUGCAUGAGCCCAUCAGGGCCGAAUCCGGUCAGACCCCAUAAUUGCCUCCCCAGGUACUGUGGAAACCUGACAUCAUGGCGGCUCCGAGGGUGGGCAGGCUGGGCCGGGGGAUCUUGGGGCAGGGGCUCGGUGACUCACAGGCCCCUUCCCACACAAGUGGCCCAUUGUUCCUGCUCGAGACAGCCGCUGGGGUGGCACGGGGCCCUUGUAGGAACUCAUUCUGAGGAUCCUUCUCAACUGGCCAGUUUCUCCACCCUGUGGCCCACAGCAGGGUCAAGUCCAGGCGUGCAGCUGACCCCUCCCUCAGGACACUCCCCACCCCCGCCCAGGUGUCCUCUGUUCCAGUCCACGCCUCCCUGCUCCCGCUCCCUCGUCCUCACACCCUCCGCUGUGCUCUCCCUUCCAGUCUUCAGUGGCCCUAUGACAGUUAGUCCAUGGCCCUGGCAUUCGAGGCCCCGCAUCCAGCUCUGCCCUCACUGCAUCUGGUCCAACAAGACCAGGCCACACAGUGUCACUGCCCAGAACUCUGUGCUCAGCAAAGUCUUGGCAGUGCCCAGGGCCAGACCCUACGCAACAGGGAGUCAGCCUGGUCCCCCUGCCUUCCUUCCCGUCUCGGUCACCAGGGCCCUUUCUGUAUCGCUCCCCUGUACCCAGCAUCCUCUCCCCGCGCUGUCAGCUUUCAGGCCGAGGCGCUCUCCUGGACUGGGUGCUGAGACCAGGCCACAGAGCCCGGCACCUGGCACCUGGCAGGUGCCUGGACACACAGGUGCUGUGAAGAGUGACGAGUGAACACUCCUGGCACCGGCUUGCCCAGCUUUGCCUGUCCCCGCCCCAGCGUUUAGUGCUGCCUGGAGCCCUGGCUGUGUUGGACCCUGGCAGGGAGCAGCCCAGACGGACCUGAAGACCUGUCUGAUAAAGCACAGGACCAGCUGCGAUGGGCCCUCUCUCCUCACCCUGCGACGGAGCCUGGGCUGGGA